This 465-nucleotide ribosomal RNA is filed under the name Vreelandella stevensii. Its description in RNAcentral is "partial 16S ribosomal RNA". It matches the Rfam family "Bacterial small subunit ribosomal RNA", at positions 338 to 795 of the family's 1533-position model. Lineage: Bacteria; Pseudomonadati; Pseudomonadota; Gammaproteobacteria; Oceanospirillales; Halomonadaceae. The record is from RNAcentral.
CCUAGGGGAGGCUGCAGUGGGGAAUAUUGGACAAUGGGCGAAAGCCUGAUCCAGCCAUGCCGCGUGUGUGAAGAAGGCCUUCGGGUUGUAAAGCACUUUCAGUGGGGAAGAAAGCCUUGGGGCUAAUACCCUCGAGGAAGGACAUCACCCACAGAAGAAGCACCGGCUAACUCCGUGCCAGCAGCCGCGGUAAUACGGAGGGUGCGAGCGUUAAUCGGAAUUACUGGGCGUAAAGCGCGCGUAGGCGGUCUGAUAAGCCGGUUGUGAAAGCCCCGGGCUCAACCUGGGAACGGCAUCCGGAACUGUCAGGCUAGAGUGCAGGAGAGGAAGGUAGAAUUCCCGGUGUAGCGGUGAAAUGCGUAGAGAUCGGGAGGAAUACCAGUGGCGAAGGCGGCCUUCUGGACUGACACUGACGCUGAGGUGCGAAAGCGUGGGUAGCAAACAGGAUUAGAUACCCGUGUAGUC